RNAcentral lists this long non-coding RNA (548 nucleotides) under Lathyrus oleraceus (garden pea). Its description in RNAcentral is "Pisum sativum (pea) long non-coding RNA (PSAT_LNC023003)". The record is from RNAcentral. Lineage: Eukaryota; Viridiplantae; Streptophyta; Magnoliopsida; Fabales; Fabaceae.
AUUUAAUUAAAUAUUGGUUAGAUUUUUUUAAAUAUUAGCUAGUUUAAAUUAAUUAUUAGUUAGUUUUUAUUUAUUAUUUAAAUGAAUAACAAUUAAAAUAUAUUUGUAUAUUUGCAUUGGAUUCCCUCCUUACAUUAAAAAAAACAAAAAAAGAAUAAAUAGAAAAAUUCUCCCAACUGUCUGCUACGUUUCUCCCCACUCACUCUCCACUACUAAUCACCUCACUCCACUCACUCUCUGAUAUCCCUCACACACUCACAUAAAAACAAAAAAAGCCGUUCAAAACAAAGACCCCCUCACCUUCUUAUCUCCCUCACCGAAAAUCCCCUAAAGAAAAAAACCCUUCUCUCUUUCCCUCACAAUUCAGACUAUCUCUCUCACUCUCAUCAUCACUCAUUCACUCUCAGCUCACACAAACACCAAGCCCUACCGCCGCCGCUCUCACUCACUAUUCACUCACUCUGAAUCUCUCAAAAACCCUAAAACCCUCACUCACUUUCCGCCUCCACCCUCUCUCUUUCUCUCGUUACUCUUCCCAUCACUCAGAA